AGAAAAUCCAAUAAAUUUUCCAAUUUAACCUCAUGUAUCGACAUUUUGUGUUUACAGUUGCAUAACCUGAUUAUUUACAAAAUUUUAUCUCCUCUCGUAUUUUUCUGAAAAAUUGAUUAAAUUUCAUCGAAAACUAGUCUCUUAUGCAGUUCAUUGAUCAAUUGAGAACGUAAAGUUUUUCGGUUCUGUUAUUGUUGUACUUUCUGUGACUGGAACUACGAAGUCUCAUCCGUAGAAAUGCUAUGGCGAAGUUUGUCUGUGUUUGCCUUAGUUUUCACGUGUGUUAAAAGUUUGGGUGAUCCGUAUCAAAUUUUGAACGUGCCGAGGACAUCAACACUUCAGGAAAUCAAAAGAGCCUACAAACAACUGGCCAAAGAAUGGCAUCCAGACAAAACAAAGAUCCGGAAGCUGAAGAAAAGUUUGUUGAAAUCAAACAGGCGUACGAGUUACUCUCAGAUCCAGAACGCAGACAGCAAUUUGACGUAUUUGGAACAACUGAGGAGCAGCCCCAGCGUGAUGAUGGCAGAACGCAAAGAUUUGAUGCCGAUUUCUUUGCCGGCUCAGGUUUUAGUUUCAAGUUCCAGGACAGAGACAUCACUGUUUUCCACAAAUUAA
RNAcentral lists this long non-coding RNA (615 nucleotides) under Bemisia tabaci. RNAcentral describes it as "lncRNA ENSSSA1NGG005724". Lineage: Eukaryota; Metazoa; Arthropoda; Insecta; Hemiptera; Aleyrodidae. The record is from RNAcentral.